AACGAACGUUGGCGGCGUGGAUUAGGCAUGCAAGUCGAACGAAGAUCCGUGGCUGUAGCAAUACAGACCUGGGGUAAGUGGCGAAAGGGGCAGUAAGGCGUGGGUAACCUACCCUGGGGACGGGCAUAGCCGUCCUAACGAGUUGGUAAUUCCGGGCGAUGUAGCGAGAUCGCAUGUCUUUGUUAUCAAAUGAAUUUCGCCUUGGGAGGGGCUCACGUGGUAUUAGCUAGUUGGUGGGGUAACGGCCUACCAAGGCAAAGAUGCCUAGCGGGUGUGAGAGCACGACCCGCGCCACUGGCACUGAGACACUGGCCAGACUCCUACGGGAGGCUGCAGUCGAGGAUCUUCGGCAAUGGGCGCAAGCCUGACCGAGCGACGCCGCGUGUGCGAUGAAGGCCUUCGGGUUGUAAAGCGCUGUCGAGGGGGAGGAAGCCGCAAGGUUGACCUAUCCCUGGAGGAAGCACGGGCUAAGUUCGUGCCAGCAGCCGCGGUAAGACGAACCGUGCGAACGUUGUUCGGAAUCACUGGGCUUAAAGGGCGCGUAGGCGGGGGACCAAGUCCUGGGUGAAAUCUUUCGGCUCAACCGGAAAAGUGCCUGAGAUACUGGUCUUCUGGAGGGAGGUAGGGGCAGCUGGAACUUCCGGUGGAGCGGUGAAAUGCGUUGAUAUCGGAAGGAACGCCGGUGGCGAAAGCGACCUGCUGGACCUCUUCUGACGCUGAGGCGCGAAAGCCAGGGGAGCAAACGGGAUUAGAUACCCCGGUAGUCCUGGCCCUAAACGAUGGGUACUAGGUUGUGGACUUGACAUGGGUUCGCAGCCGAAGCAAAAGUGUUAAGUACCCCGCCUGGGGAGUAUGGUCGCAAGGCUG
Molecule: ribosomal RNA, 867 nt
Filed under: uncultured Planctomycetota bacterium
Lineage: Bacteria; Pseudomonadati; Planctomycetota
Description: bacterial SSU rRNA
Rfam family: Bacterial small subunit ribosomal RNA
Source: RNAcentral